GCGAAACCCGAAGACGCCUUGCAGGGUAAGAACUGAAGCCACCAAAAGGCUUACUAUACCACACAACACCCAAGCCUUGUUUUGGGGCAUGGGGACAGUGGAUCUAUGGCUCCUCAGGGUGCCAACCAAUUGAAGAAGGAAGCCAGCUCCACUCAACAGCCUCUACAAAGGAAGGGCCACAGGGGAGGGGCUUCAGUGGUUCCAGGCAGCUGCUUCAUUCACAACAGAAUGGCCAUUUUCUCCAGCAUGGCCAACUAUCCCUAGUCUUUUUGUCACGACAGCCUAGAAGGCAGAAGCUAGGGCCAAGGCUGCUGCUAAGGAAUUCCUACUCCUACUGGGGCCUAAUGUCAGGCUUUCCUUAUAUUGUGGAGGGGGCCCUGGAGGAUAGUUAGAGACUCUCUUCCUUUCUGCUGGGCACCCUGAAGAGGAGCAAGAGGAUCUGGUGAGCAAAAUGAAG
Molecule: long non-coding RNA, 457 nt
Filed under: Pongo abelii (Sumatran orangutan)
Lineage: Eukaryota; Metazoa; Chordata; Mammalia; Primates; Hominidae
Description: lincRNA
Source: RNAcentral